AAAUCCAAACAAAAUCUGAGCAUGUCAAAGUCAGCUCCCUAGUUCACUAGUCAGCACACUGGCAAAAGUGAUAGUAUUCUUAAAUGGCCUGGGACCAGAUGCAUAAACAUAGGAACUAUACUAAGAACUAGUUUGACCAAAAAACAGUUGGCCAUAGGGUAAGCCAGGGGUCACGAGGGCCGGUGUCCCUGCAGUGUUCAGCUCCAACCCUAAUCAAACACACCUGAACCAGCGAAUCAAGGUCUUAGUAGGUAUACUUGAAACUUCCAGGCAGGUGUGUUGAGGAAAGUUGGAGGUAAACUCUGCAGGACACCGGCACCUCCAGGAACAAGUUUGGUGACCCCUGGGGUGCCACUGCCAUUGUGACCAGCAGGUGUCCCCAACAUAAGGUGAUUCACGCGCUUCAACCCAAACAGAGUAUGGUACUUUGCACGUGUUAUUACAGUGAAAAUGAUGGACGUCAACUCACACUGUGCAGCAAAUUUGUUUGGUUUAAAUUAAAGGACAGAACACAG
Long non-coding RNA from Labeo rohita (rohu), 515 nucleotides. RefSeq lists it as uncharacterized. The transcript has 3 exons. NCBI's taxonomy places the organism in Eukaryota, Metazoa, Chordata, Actinopteri, Cypriniformes, Cyprinidae. The record is from RefSeq and is a predicted model, not a curated record.